GACGAACGCUGGCGGCGUGCUUAACACAUGCAAGUCGAACGGAAAGGCCCUGCUUUUGUGGGGUGCUCGAGUGGCGAACGGGUGAGUAACACGUGAGUAACCUGCCCUUGACUGUGGGAUAACUUCAGGAAACUGGGGCUAAUACCGGAUAGGAGCUCCUGCUGCAUGGUGGGGGUUGGAAAGCUUCGGCGGUUGGGGAUGGACUCGCGGCUUAUCAGCUUGUUGGGGGGGUAGUGGCUUAACAAGGCUUUGACGGGUAGCCGGCCUGAGAGGGUGACCGGGUAACGUGAGACUGAGAUUCGGCCCCGACUGCUACGGGAUGGAGCGGGGGAGAAGAGUGCAUAAGGGGCGGAAGCCUAACGCAGCAAAGCCGCGCACGGGAUGAGGGACUUCGGGUUGUGAACCGCUUUUGGCUGUGACGAAGCGUGAGUGACGGUAAUGGGUAAAGAAGCUCCGGCUAACUCCGUG
This 468-nucleotide ribosomal RNA is filed under the name uncultured bacterium. Its description in RNAcentral is "partial 16S ribosomal RNA". It matches the Rfam family "Bacterial small subunit ribosomal RNA", at positions 28 to 507 of the family's 1533-position model. The record is from RNAcentral.